CUUACACAUGCAAGUCGAACGGCAGCGCGGGGCAACCUGGCGGCGAGUGGCGAACGGNUGAGUAAUAUAUCGGAACGUGCCCUGGAGUGGGGGAUAACGCAGCGAAAGUUGCGCUAAUACCGCAUACGAUCUAAGGAUGAAAGCGGGGGAUUCGCAAGAACCUCGUGCUCCUGGAGCGGCCGAUAUCUGAUUAGCUAGUUGGUGGGGUAAAGGCCUACCAAGGCAUCGAUCAGUAGCUGGUCUGAGAGGACGACCAGCCACACUGGAACUGAGACACGGUCCAGACUCCUACGGGAGGCAGCAGUGGGGAAUUUUGGACAAUGGGCGAAAGCCUGAUCCAGCAAUGCCGCGUGAGUGAAGAGGGCCUUCGGGUUGUAAAGCUCUUUUGUCAGGGAAGAAACGGUGAAGGCUAAUAUCCUUUGCUAAUGACGGUACCUGAAGAAUAAGCACCGGCUAACUACGUGCCAGCAGCCGCGGUAAUACGUAGGGUGCAAGCGUUAAUCGGAAUUACUGGGCGUAAAGCGUGCGCAGGCGGUUUUGUAAGUCUGUCGUGAAAUCCCCGGGCUCAACCUGGGAAUUGCGAUGGAGACUGCAAGGCUAGAAUCUGGCAGAGGGGGGUAGAAUUCCACGUGUAGCAGUGAAAUGCGUAGAGAUGUGGAGGAACACCGAUGGCGAAGGCGGCCCCCUGGGUCAAGAUUGACGCUCAUGCACGAAAGCGUGGGGAGCAAACAGGAUUAGAUACCCUGGUAGUCCACGCCCUAAACGAUGUCUACUAGU
RNAcentral lists this ribosomal RNA (777 nucleotides) under uncultured bacterium. Its description in RNAcentral is "bacterial SSU rRNA". It matches the Rfam family "Bacterial small subunit ribosomal RNA", at positions 48 to 820 of the family's 1533-position model. The record is from RNAcentral.